AGUGAACGCUGGCGGUAGGCCUAACACAUGCCAGUCGAACGGCAGCACAGUAAGAGCUUGCUCUUACGGGUGGCGAGUGGCGGACGGGUGAGGAAUACAUCGGAAUCUACUUUUUCGUGGGGGAUAACGUAGGGAAACUUACGCUAAUACCGCAUACGACCUACGGGUGAAAGCAGGGGAUCUUCGGACCUUGCGCGAUUGAAUGAGCCGAUGUCGGAUUAGCUAGUUGGCGGGGUAAAGGCCCACCAAGGCGACGAUCCGUAGCUGGUCUGAGAGGAUGAUCAGCCGCACUGGAACUGAGACACGGUCCAGACUCCUACGGGAGGCAGCAGUGGGGAAUAUUGGACAAUGGGCGCAAGCCUGAUCCAGCCAUACCGCGUGGGUGAAGAAGGCCUUCGGGUUGUAAAGCCCUUUUGUUGGGAAAGAAAAGCAGCAGGUUAAUACCCCGCCGUUCUGACGGUACCCAAAGAAUAAGCACCGGCUAACUUCGUG
This 492-nucleotide ribosomal RNA is filed under the name uncultured bacterium. RNAcentral's name for it is "partial 16S ribosomal RNA". It matches the Rfam family "Bacterial small subunit ribosomal RNA", at positions 29 to 507 of the family's 1533-position model. The record is from RNAcentral.